GACCAGCCGAAGCACCGGCCAGCCGCCUG
This 29-nucleotide small RNA is filed under the name Bombyx mori (domestic silkworm). RNAcentral's name for it is "ovarian small RNA-15442". The record is from RNAcentral. Lineage: Eukaryota; Metazoa; Arthropoda; Insecta; Lepidoptera; Bombycidae.